This is a non-coding RNA of Salvelinus sp. IW2-2015, 775 nucleotides long. The record is from RefSeq and is a predicted model, not a curated record. Lineage: Eukaryota; Metazoa; Chordata; Actinopteri; Salmoniformes; Salmonidae.
AAGAAAAAGCAUACUGAAGAAAAAGCCUGGUGGAGAGGGGUGUCAUCAAGGAAUACUCCAAAACUAAAAGCCUGACUGACCACACACAGACGAAAAAUUAUCAACAUUCUUGUUUCGGCGAUGACAGAGACUGACUGCUGACUGGGGACCAAUGCUGCUUGUGAAGAUUCUGAUUGACGCCUAAACAAAACAUAGUCUUGUCAGGACAUCACCACCUCGCAGAGUGAGAGAAAUGUUUGCAGAAGGCAUCGUCUCCUUGUUCCCAUACCUGAAGGAUCCCUACACCGCAAAUGGAUAUGAACAUUAUUACGACCCUAAUAGUGGAGAAGGGUACCUCUCGUAUAGAAUUAAAACCGUUCAGAGGAAUUUGGCUUCAUCUGAGAAACGGCCCACUCAACUAUACUCUGAAGGGCCAACUGCUGAGAGGGAGUCCAGUCCAUCCACUUUGGUUAACCUGAGUGAAGACCAGUGCAGAGAGGCCAUUUCUCUUAUGAAGCAUUCUUCUAAUGAAGAAACAGUCAAACAGAAGAUGAAAUUGACCUUUGAGUGCAGGAAGAAGAUGGCCCACGACCCAAGUAAAUACUCCACCAUCCUAAAGGAAUUUCCACACUUUCUGGAUGUGAAGGGCUUGGUAAGACUUUUUUUAAAACAGUUUUAUGUUGUAUAAAUUGCGUUUAAUCUCUAGAUGCCAAUUCAGGUUGGCCAGUAAUGUGUAGGCUGGUGAUUUUACUCAAACUCUGUUUUGGAGGUUAAAGUGGAAUGUUUUGUGAGAAAU